This 467-nucleotide ribosomal RNA is filed under the name uncultured bacterium. RNAcentral describes it as "partial 16S ribosomal RNA". It matches the Rfam family "Bacterial small subunit ribosomal RNA", at positions 28 to 506 of the family's 1533-position model. The record is from RNAcentral.
GACGAACGCUGGCGGCGUGCUUAACACAUGCAAGUCGAACGGAAAGGCCCUGCUUUUGUGGGGUGCUCGAGUGGCGAACGGGUGAGUAACACGUGAGUAACCUGCCCUUGACUUUGGGAUAACUUCAGGAAACUGGGGCUAAUACCGGAUAGGAGCUCCUGCUGCAUGGUGGGGGUUGGAAAGUUUCGGCGGUUGGGGAUGGACUCGCGGCUUAUCAGCUUGUUGGUGUGGUAGUGCCUUACCAAGGUUUUGACGGGUAGCCUGUCUGAGAGUGUGACGGGCGUCAUUGUCACUGAGGGUCGGCCCAGUGUCGUACGGGAGGAAGCAGCGGCGAACAUUCGACAUGGGGCGGAAUCCGUUAGUAGCAACUUAGCGGGCGAAAUGGCGCCAUUCGGGUAUGAACCCGCUUUCCCCUAUAACGAUACGUCUGUAAAGGUCCUGCGCAAAGAAGACGAGGCUAAGUACUU